Molecule: ribosomal RNA, 900 nt
Filed under: Pithoascus stoveri
Lineage: Eukaryota; Fungi; Ascomycota; Sordariomycetes; Microascales; Microascaceae
Description: LSU rRNA
Rfam family: Eukaryotic large subunit ribosomal RNA
Source: RNAcentral
GCAUAUCAAUAAGCGGAGGAAAAGAAACCAACAGGGAUUGCCCCAGUAACGGCGAGUGAAGCGGCAACAGCUCAAAUUUGAAAUCUGGUCCCCUCUGGGGGCCCGAGUUGUAAUUUGAAGAGGAUGCUUCUGGCGAGGUGCCGUCCGAGUUCCCUGGAACGGGACGCCGCAGAGGGUGAGAGCCCCGUACGGUCGGACACCGAGCCUCUGUGAAGCUCCUUCGACGAGUCGAGUAGUUUGGGAAUGCUGCUCAAAAUGGGAGGUAAACCCCUUCUAAAGCUAAAUACCGGCCAGAGACCGAUAGCGCACAAGUAGAGUGAUCGAAAGAUGAAAAGCACUUUGAAAAGAGAGUUAAAAAGCACGUGAAAUUGUUGAAAGGGAAGCGCUUGCGACCAGACUUGCGCCCGUCGGAUCAGCCGUCCCUCGCGGGCGGCGCACUCCGGCGGGCUCAGGCCAGCAUCGGUUCGCCUCGGGGGGAGAAAGGCGGCGGGAACGUGGCUCUACGGAGUGUUAUAGCCCGCCGUGCAAUACCCCCGGGUGGACCGAGGACCGCGCGUAUGCAAGGAUGCUGGCGUAAUGGUCGUCAGCGACCCGUCUUGAAACACGGACCAAGGAGUCGUCCUAAUAUGCGAGUGUAAGGGUGUCAAACCCCUGCGCGGAAUGAAAGUGAACGGAGGUGAGAGCUUCGGCGCAUCAUCGACCGAUCCUGAUGUUCUCGGAUGGAUUUGAGUAAGAGCAUAUUGGGCCGGACCCGAAAGAAGGUGAACUAUGCCUGUGUAGGGUAAAGCCAGAGGAAACUCUGGUGGAGGCUCGCAGCGGUUCUGACGUGCAAAUCGAUCGUCAAACAUGGGCAUGGGGGCGAAAGACUAAUCGAACCUUCUAGUAGCUGGUUUCAGCCGA